This 254-nucleotide ribosomal RNA is filed under the name uncultured Paracoccus sp. RNAcentral's name for it is "partial 16S ribosomal RNA". It matches the Rfam family "Bacterial small subunit ribosomal RNA", at positions 1102 to 1382 of the family's 1533-position model. Lineage: Bacteria; Pseudomonadati; Pseudomonadota; Alphaproteobacteria; Rhodobacterales; Paracoccaceae. The record is from RNAcentral.
CCCACGUCCAGUGCCAGCAUUCAGUUGGGCACUCUAUGGAAACUGCCGGUGAUAAGCCGGAGGAAGGUGUGGAUGACGCCAAGUCCUCAUGGCCCUUACGGGUUGGGCUACACACGUGCUACAAUGGUGGUGACAGUGGGUUAAUCCCCAAAAGCCAUCUCAGUUCGGAUUGUCCUCUGCAACUCGAGGGCAUGAAGUUGGAAUCGCUAGUAAUCGCGGAACAGCAUGCCGCGGUGAAUACGUUCCCGGGCCUU